GAUGAACGCUAGCGGCAGGCCUAACACAUGCAAGUCGAGGGGUAGAAGGAGCUUGCUCCUUUGAGACCGGCGCACGGGUGCGUAACGCGUAUGCAAUCUACCUUGUACAGGGGAAUAGCCCAGAGAAAUUUGGAUUAAUGCCCCAUAGUAUAUAACCUUCGCAUGUUGGUUAUAUUAAAGUUCCAACGGUACAAGAUGAGCAUGCGUCCCAUUAGUUAGUUGGUAAGGUAACGGCUUACCAAGACGAUGAUGGGUAGGGGUCCUGAGAGGGAGAUCCCCCACACUGGUACUGAGACACGGACCAGACUCCUACGGGAGGCAGCAGUGAGGAAUAUUGGUCAAUGGUCGCAAGACUGAACCAGCGAUGCCGCGUGCAGGAAGACGGUCCUAUGGAUUGUAAACUGCUUUUAUACAGGAAGAAACCCUCCCACGUGUGGGAGCUUGACGGUACUGUAGGAAUAAGGAUCGGCUAACUCCGUG
This 480-nucleotide ribosomal RNA is filed under the name uncultured bacterium. Its description in RNAcentral is "partial 16S ribosomal RNA". It matches the Rfam family "Bacterial small subunit ribosomal RNA", at positions 28 to 507 of the family's 1533-position model. The record is from RNAcentral.